CCGGCACGGGUGAGUAACACGUAUCCAACCUGCCGUCUACUCUUGGACAGCCUUCUGAAAGGAAGAUUAAUACAAGAUGGCAUCAUGAGUUCACAUGUUCACAUGAUUAAAGGUAUUCCGGUAGACGAUGGGGAUGCGUUCCAUUAGAUAGUAGGCGGGGUAACGGCCCACCUAGUCUUCGAUGGAUAGGGGUUCUGAGAGGAAGGUCCCCCACAUUGGAACUGAGACACGGACCAA
This 237-nucleotide ribosomal RNA is filed under the name uncultured bacterium. RNAcentral's name for it is "partial 16S ribosomal RNA". It matches the Rfam family "Bacterial small subunit ribosomal RNA", at positions 100 to 334 of the family's 1533-position model. The record is from RNAcentral.